AAGUGAUUAUAUGGAGAAGCAC
RNAcentral lists this microRNA (22 nucleotides) under Prunus persica (peach). Its description in RNAcentral is "ppe-miR6261". Lineage: Eukaryota; Viridiplantae; Streptophyta; Magnoliopsida; Rosales; Rosaceae. The record is from miRBase by way of RNAcentral.